This 234-nucleotide long non-coding RNA is filed under the name Sus scrofa (pig). RNAcentral describes it as "lncRNA (ENSSSCG00045038951.1)". The record is from RNAcentral. Lineage: Eukaryota; Metazoa; Chordata; Mammalia; Artiodactyla; Suidae.
UCUCUCUGAAGAGGAGCGGUGUCGUGCUGGGUGACAGGAGGAAGGAUGAGACGGUCUUUUAAGGUCUCUCCCAAUCUGGGAAGUCUAUGAAUAUCCCUACCAGCUGAGAGUGAUUCUCCAUGCUUUAUUCAUCACGAAAAUGACGCAAAUCCAGAAAAGCAGCUCUUUCAAAGGGCUGAGAAGUCCAUGUUUCCUGUAUAAACGGUGCAAAUGCUGACUAUGAAAGAUUUAGAG